ACUCCUACGGGAGGCAGCAGUGGGGAAUAUUGCACAAUGGGCGAAAGCCUGAUGCAGCCAUGCCAGCGUGUGUGAAGAAGGCCUUCGGGUUGUAAAGCACUUUCAGUAGGGAGGAAAGGGUAUUGCUUAAUACGCAAUAUGCUGUGACGUUACCUACAGAAGAAGGACCGGCUAACUCC
This 179-nucleotide ribosomal RNA is filed under the name uncultured Gammaproteobacteria bacterium. Its description in RNAcentral is "partial 16S ribosomal RNA". It matches the Rfam family "Bacterial small subunit ribosomal RNA", at positions 335 to 504 of the family's 1533-position model. Lineage: Bacteria; Pseudomonadati; Pseudomonadota; Gammaproteobacteria. The record is from RNAcentral.